Molecule: long non-coding RNA, 658 nt
Filed under: Fukomys damarensis (Damara mole-rat)
Lineage: Eukaryota; Metazoa; Chordata; Mammalia; Rodentia; Bathyergidae
Description: lncRNA (ENSFDAG00000028713.1)
Source: RNAcentral
GGACUCUGUAAGGAUAUUUUUCUUAAGCGUAUAGAAUUAUUCUGAUGUUUGUGAAACAAACAGUAAACAUUUUGUUGUUUUCAGAGAAUAUUAUCAAGAAAAAAAUACUGAAAAAUAACAAAACAUAAAAGUUAUAAGCCAAUUUGCAUUGCUAGAAGGUGGCUUCUUGAAUUUAUACUACUGAUAUAUCCAUAAUAUAAUCCCAAAUUUUGAUGUGAAGAUAAAUCCUUGGCUGGUAAAGUCUUAGUUUACAUUGUUGUUUGCCAACAGACCUGUAUGAAGGACAAAGGAGCUGAAGUCAUAGUUAGCCCUCUCGCUUCUUCUUUCUCCCUUCUGUGGAGCUUUGAACACUAAUUUCUCAGGGUUGAUCUACAUCUUUGUUGAUGUUGGAACACAUAACCUCAAGAAUCAAACCCAAGAUCCAAGACCUUCAAAAAUUGGGAAUCCACAGAGGAGAUAAUCUCUUUGUUUUACACUGUAAGACAGAAAGCCUCAAGUGGUUGAGUGGCUGCCCGUCAUUCUACUGCAUUCUUGGUAGGAAGAAGUUGGAUAAAAAUCAAAACUAUGGCACAAAUCAAGUCUGGAAGCAGAUCAGGUAAAAAGGAAGUGGGGGUAUUAAAUGGGGGUACUAGGGUUGAUGUGGAGAAUUUAGAGAUCG